This 96-nucleotide small RNA is filed under the name Bacillus sp. (in: firmicutes). RNAcentral's name for it is "Bacillus sp. Guanidine-I sequence". It matches the Rfam family "Guanidine-I riboswitch aptamer". From Rfam's summary of the family: This family represents a conserved RNA structure found upstream of the ykkC and yxkD genes in Bacillus subtilis and related genes in other bacteria. The function of this family is unclear although it has been suggested that it may function to switch on efflux pumps and detoxification systems in response to harmful environmental molecules. Nelson showed that this riboswitch senses and responds to guanidine and it was renamed Guanidine-I riboswitch. Lineage: Bacteria; Bacillati; Bacillota; Bacilli; Caryophanales; Bacillaceae. The record is from RNAcentral.
UUAAAUGUUUUCUAGGGUUCCGCAACUACCUGUUGGUCUGGUCCGAGAGAAAACUCACAGCUUGCUGUGUCACGGAGGGAUAAAAGCCUGGGAGAA